CCUACGGGGGGCUGCAGUGGGGAAUAUUGGACAAUGGGGGGAACCCUGAUCCAGCCAUGCCGCGUGUGUGAAGAAGGCCCUCGGGUUGUAAAGCACUUUCAGUGAGGAAGAACGCCUGGUGGUUAAUACCCAUCAGGAAAGACAUCACUCACAGAAGAAGCACCGGCUAACUCCGUGCCAGCAGCCGCGGUAAUACGGAGGGUGCGAGCGUUAAUUGGAAUUACUGGGCGUAAAGCGCGCGUAGGUGGCUUGAUAAGCCGGUUGUGAAAGCCCCGGGCUCAACCUGGGAACGGCAUCCGGAACUGUCAAGCUAGAGUGCAGGAGAGGAAGGUAGAAUUCCCGGUGUAGCGGUGAAAUGCGUAGAGAUCGGGAGGAAUACCAGUGGCGAAGGCGGCCUUCUGGACUGACACUGACACUGAGGUGCGAAAGCGUGGGUAGCAAACAGGAUUAGAUACCCCUGUAGUC
RNAcentral lists this ribosomal RNA (465 nucleotides) under Vreelandella stevensii. Its description in RNAcentral is "partial 16S ribosomal RNA". It matches the Rfam family "Bacterial small subunit ribosomal RNA", at positions 338 to 795 of the family's 1533-position model. The record is from RNAcentral. Lineage: Bacteria; Pseudomonadati; Pseudomonadota; Gammaproteobacteria; Oceanospirillales; Halomonadaceae.